CUUAGACACACGCACUUCCUCCAUCCCUUCUGCUGCUAACUUCAGUCUGUGACACAAUCUCACAUGCACAAUUAUAUGAAAACAACAGAGACUCCUGGAAAGGAACAAAAAGAGGGCAAGGCAGGAAGCCAACCUUCAAGUCUCUUGUCCGGGCUUCAGGUGGCCGAGAACUGCUUCUGGUGGCCUGCGGUUUGGUUUCAGUAAUGCACCUGGAGGAGGACAAGCGUGAGCCGUGAUUCACCAGCAGCCAGGUGAGGGAAGGGAAUAGAGGUGCAAAACCAGGAAAGGUCUGGAGUUACAGUUGCAAGGAAUUCCAUGGUCUGUCCCAUCAGGCCUGACUCAGAUUGGUUUGCAAAUUACUUUCUGCAAAAUUCCACUUUGCACAUUGGAAUCUUACCUCUAACUCUUACUUUUCCCAUUGCGUUUCUGCUAUUGGAUCCUAGCUCUUCCCGCUUCCGACUAGAAUGCCUAGCUAGGGAGUGUGUGGCAUAAUGCAGAAAUGCGCAAAGGAAAACACGUGGACAUUAAAAAACAAAACAAAACAAAACAAAAACCCAAAACUUCGUAUGGCAUCACACACAAUUCCACAUCCUUCAAUUAAUAGAUUUGCAAGAUAUUGGGAUGCCUGGGUGGCUCAGCGGUUGAGCAUCUGCCUUCCACUCAGGGUGUGCUCCUGGAGUCCCGGGAUCAAGUCCCUGCAUGGAGCCUGCUUCUUCCUCUGCCUGUGUCUCUGCCUCUCUCUCUGUCUUUCAUAAAUAAAAUAAAAUAAAAUAAAAUAAGAUUUGCAAGAUAUUUUUAUGUAAUUACUAUUCUUAUAAAACAUUUAAGUGACACCAGAGUUAUCUAAAACUAAUCCCAGAUAUGACUUCCAAUUUCACUCUGCUUAAGACAGUAUGACUUCCCAAGGUCUACCAUGUAAAGGAUCGAUCUCUUAUCCUGCAUGGUAAAAAGACUUUAUAAUCUGACCCAACUACCUCUCUCCCCUCAUUCCCCACCAUCCCUUAUUAUGUACACUAUCAAAAAAUGUUACCAUAUCAUCAUUUGGCUCAUAUUUUAUCACUUUGUGGCUCAGCGGAAGUUUCUACCUUUGGCUAGAGUAGGGGCUUCUCAACCCUGGGCACCCAUUAACAUCACCUGGAGAACACUGACAACACCUUUU
Canis lupus familiaris (dog) is the source of this 1159-nucleotide long non-coding RNA. RefSeq lists it as uncharacterized. The transcript has 3 exons. NCBI's taxonomy places the organism in Eukaryota, Metazoa, Chordata, Mammalia, Carnivora, Canidae. The record is from RefSeq and is a predicted model, not a curated record.